AAGAUGAUGAUGAUGAUGAUGAUACUCAUCGUGAGAACACACACAUUAUGAAAGAAAAUAGUGAUAAUGAUGGCGGUGAUAGCAUCAUAGUUAGGGGUUUGACAAAGAGCAUCAGUUACUCUGUACAAAAUUAUAACUGUGAAAUUGAAGGCAUUUCUCUUGGAGACAUGAGUGGAGAUCAAUGGGAAUUGUUCUUGGAGUGCUUUGAGGAGCUUUUGCCUGAGGUUUUUCAAGGCACAAAGGGCAUGGGCACAAAGCAAAGGUUGGGAACUUCUUGCAAGUUCUGAGUUAUGAAUGUUCACAAGAAAUCAACACAACCCAAAUGAGAAACAGGUACUUGCUUGAACCUAGCUAAUUUGGAGUAAUUUGUAUACUGUCCAUAUCAACUUGGUAAUAUAUUACAGAUGAUACUUAGGAAGGAAAAGGGAUAAGGCAGGCUACCAUCCUUUCCAUUUCAUUUCUCACUC
Molecule: unclassified non-coding RNA, 467 nt
Filed under: Hevea brasiliensis (rubber tree)
Lineage: Eukaryota; Viridiplantae; Streptophyta; Magnoliopsida; Malpighiales; Euphorbiaceae
Source: RNAcentral